RNAcentral lists this ribosomal RNA (253 nucleotides) under uncultured bacterium. RNAcentral describes it as "partial 16S ribosomal RNA". It matches the Rfam family "Bacterial small subunit ribosomal RNA", at positions 524 to 776 of the family's 1533-position model. The record is from RNAcentral.
UACGAGGGGGGCUAGCGUUGUUCGGAAUUACUGGGCGUAAAGCGCGCGCAGGCGGUCUUCCAAGUCAGUGGUGAAAGCCCGGAGCUCAACUCCGGAACUGCCAUUGAAACUGUGAGACUUGAGGAUGAGAGAGGUGAGUGGAAUUCCCAGUGUAGAGGUGAAAUUCGUAGAUAUUGGGAAGAACACCGGUGGCGAAGGCGGCUCACUGGCUCAUAUCUGACGCUCAGGCGCGACAGCGUGGGGAUCAAACAGG